RNAcentral lists this long non-coding RNA (650 nucleotides) under Mytilus galloprovincialis (Mediterranean mussel). Lineage: Eukaryota; Metazoa; Mollusca; Bivalvia; Mytilida; Mytilidae. The record is from RNAcentral.
AUAAAUAAACUGAAAAAGAUUACACAUAUUUAGGAUAUAUGACUACUAACAUUUGAACAUGUACGUAUUAUACUGAGUGUGUUGACCUAUUGCAGGAAUUGAGAACAUUAUCUAAUAUAGACAUAAGGAUAUAACAAUAAUUAAACCUUGAUCUGUGAGUCAUCAAGGUGUGAUAUCAUAGCAUGUGAUCUCUACCAGACAGACAUGAACCACUUGAUUCUGUAGAAAAUAUAGAUGACAUACUACGUAAAUUUAUUUACCUAUAAGCAGAGACAUAUAAUACAAUUUUAUUGUAUUAUAUGUCUCUGCUCUAGCCAAUGUAGAAAAGUAAACGCAUAACAAUAUGCACAUUAAAAUUCAGUUCAAGAGAAGUCUGAGACCGAUGUCAGAAGCUGUAACAAAAGAAAAUAAAUAAAAUGACAAUAAUACAUAAAUAACAACAGACUACUAGCAGUUAACUGACAUGCCAGCUCCAGACCUCAAUUAGACUGAUUGAAAGAUUAUGUCUUCAUCAUAUGAAUAUCAGGCACAAUCCCUCCCGUUAGGGGUUUAGUAUCAUACUAUCAUAAAAUAUAUGAGAAGAACAUAACCCGUGUCAUGCCAAGAACUGUUUUUUUAAAUAAAUGUGUUUAGUUCCGAUGCAAAGACCC